GAUGAACGCUGGCGGCGUGCCUAAUACAUGCAAGUCGAGCGAACAGACGAGGAGCUUGCUCCUCUGACGUUAGCGGCGGACGGGUGAGUAACACGUGGAUAACCUACCUAUAAGACUGGGAUAACUUCGGGAAACCGGAGCUAAUACCGGAUAAUAUAUUGAACCGCAUGGUUCAAUAGUGAAAGACGGUUUUGCUGUCACUUAUAGAUGGAUCCGCGCCACAUUAGCUAGUUGGUAAGGUAACGGCUUACCAAGGCGAUGAUGCGUAACCGACCUGAGAGGGUGAUCGGCCACACUGGAACUGAGACACGGUCCAGACUCCUACGGGAGGCAGCAGUAGGGAAUCUUCCGCAAUGGGCGAAAGCCUGACGGAGCAACGCCGCGUGAGUGAUGAAGGUCUUCGGAUCGUAAAACUCUGUUAUUAGGGAAGAACAAAUGUGUAAGUAACUAUGCACGUCUUGACGGUACCUAAUCAGAAAGCCACGGCUAACUACGUG
This 497-nucleotide ribosomal RNA is filed under the name uncultured bacterium. Its description in RNAcentral is "partial 16S ribosomal RNA". It matches the Rfam family "Bacterial small subunit ribosomal RNA", at positions 28 to 507 of the family's 1533-position model. The record is from RNAcentral.